UACGAAGGGGGCUAGCGUUGCUCGGAAUCACUGGGCGUAAAGGGUGCGUAGGCGGGUUUUUAAGUCAGAGGUGAAAUCCUGGAGCUCAACUCCAGAACUGCCUUUGAUACUGAAAGUCUUGAGUAUGGGAGAGGUGAGUGGAACUGCGAGUGUAGAGGUGAAAAUUCGUAGAUAUUCGCAAGACACCAGUGGCGAAGGCGGCUCACUGGCCCAUUACUGACGCUGAGGCACGAAAGCGUGGGGAGCAACAGG
This 252-nucleotide ribosomal RNA is filed under the name uncultured bacterium. RNAcentral describes it as "partial 16S ribosomal RNA". It matches the Rfam family "Bacterial small subunit ribosomal RNA", at positions 524 to 775 of the family's 1533-position model. The record is from RNAcentral.